Molecule: long non-coding RNA, 677 nt
Filed under: Fukomys damarensis (Damara mole-rat)
Lineage: Eukaryota; Metazoa; Chordata; Mammalia; Rodentia; Bathyergidae
Description: lncRNA (ENSFDAG00000032738.1)
Source: RNAcentral
CCCCUCCGUCCUCCUGUAUCUUUAGUGCAGACCUCCUCCCCCUCUGAAGCCUCGCCUUCUCUCUGAGGCAGAUCACAGAGGUCCUGGGCAGCCUUCAGGUGAUUCUAUCUGAGUGCAGCUAGGCCUGGUGUGUCCUGGGAACAGCACAAAGUAUGAGACAUUUGUUUUGUGACUUACGAGUGAGGGCCGUUAGAGCGUCUAAGGAAGACAACUCUGCCAUUCUUCGCACUGGUAUCAGUCUGACCUGAGCCUGUCCCAGCAGCACCCGGGUCCUCUGCAUUUCAGGACUGUGAUGAGCUCCAUGAUCUGCACAAGUGUAAGUGCUAACAGACAAAAGUGACUUUAAAACUGCUCAUCAGAGGGCUGAAGUAUCUGAUAAGCAAAGACCACACAUGCAAAUGUAGAAACAGACCUCUUUAUAAAUGAUGUCUGACAAGGAAAAGGAUAGCUGCGGCAUAGGAGCUCUGGAAAAUCUGAGACUUCUUUCAAAUGAUCUUUGCACUUUUGGACAUGGAGAUGGUCACAAAACACUGGGGGAAACAUCAAAGGGGUGUCACAGACAUGGAACGGAGCAAACCAGAAAGAGGAUGGUGUACACUCAACAAGCCCCAAAGAGAACAGGGAAGAGCAUCAGAUUAAGGAGUCACACAAGUCAAAGGACUGAAUCUGCAACAUAA